Molecule: transfer RNA, 69 nt
Filed under: Ictidomys tridecemlineatus (thirteen-lined ground squirrel)
Lineage: Eukaryota; Metazoa; Chordata; Mammalia; Rodentia; Sciuridae
Description: Spermophilus tridecemlineatus (thirteen-lined ground squirrel) tRNA
Rfam family: tRNA
About the family: Transfer RNA (tRNA) molecules are approximately 80 nucleotides in length. Their secondary structure includes four short double-helical elements and three loops (D, anti-codon, and T loops). Further hydrogen bonds mediate the characteristic L-shaped molecular structure. tRNAs have two regions of fundamental functional importance: the anti-codon, which is responsible for specific mRNA codon recognition, and the 3' end, to which the tRNAs corresponding amino acid is attached (by aminoacyl-tRNA synthetases). tRNAs cope with the degeneracy of the genetic code in two manners: having more than one tRNA (with a specific anti-codon) for a particular amino acid; and 'wobble' base-pairing, i.e. permitting non-standard base-pairing at the 3rd anti-codon position.
Source: Rfam by way of RNAcentral
GGAGUUGUGGCUCAAUGGUAGAGCAUUUGCCUGGCAUGUGUAAGGUACUGGAUUCAAUUCUCAGCACCA